GGACCAACAAUAGGCGAUGGCUGCUUUCCAUUUUUAUACUGACGCUGAGGUACGAAAGCAUGGGGAGCGAACAGGAUUAGAGACCCUGGUAGUCCAUGCCCUGACCUAUGAAUAUUAAUCGUCCAUUUAGAUAGUGGAUGACUAAGCUAACGCGAAAAUAUUCCACCUGAGGACUACGGCCGCAAGGUUAAAACUCAAAGAAAUUGGCGGAAGAUCGUUUAAGCGGUGGAGUAUGUGGUUUAAUUCGAUAAUACGCGAAAAACCUUACCAAUCUUUGUGCACAUUUUCGGUUCUACAAAACUUGUAGCCCAAAUUGAGGUGGUCAAUUUGGGCUAGCUAUGUGCCAGGCGUUGCAUGGCUGUCGUAAGCUCGUGUCUUAGGAUGUGUGGUUAACUCCAUGAACGGGCGCAACCCUUGUUCCUAGUUAGAUUAGGAAUGAAAACAGUGAAAACUGCUUUUGAGGAUGAGGAGUAUGUCAAGUCAAUAUGACCUUUAUAGAUUGGGCUACACACGUACUACAACGGUAGCUACAAUGAGAAACAAUGCCGUGAGGCGGAGUAAAUCUCUAAAACCUACCCUAGUUCGGAUUAUUUUUUGAAAUAAAAAUAUGAAGCCGGAAUCGCUAGUAAUCGCAAAAAAGAAUGUUGCGGUGAAUAUUAAGACCGAUCUUAGUACACACCGCCCGUCACGCCAUGGAAGCUUGUUUGGUUUGAAGAUAUUAAGUCACAUGUUUCGAAG
RNAcentral lists this ribosomal RNA (738 nucleotides) under Balamuthia mandrillaris. Its description in RNAcentral is "SSU rRNA". It matches the Rfam family "Bacterial small subunit ribosomal RNA", at positions 703 to 1448 of the family's 1533-position model. The record is from RNAcentral. Lineage: Eukaryota; Discosea; Longamoebia; Balamuthiidae.